CCAACGGUUUUAUUUAUUCCUGGAAUAAAACCACACAAAAAGAAUUGAAAAAAUUG
Molecule: non-coding RNA, 56 nt
Organism: Orchesella cincta
Lineage: Eukaryota; Metazoa; Arthropoda; Collembola; Entomobryomorpha; Orchesellidae
Source: Rfam